RNAcentral lists this transfer RNA (66 nucleotides) under bovine gut metagenome. It matches the Rfam family "tRNA". Rfam says of the family: Transfer RNA (tRNA) molecules are approximately 80 nucleotides in length. Their secondary structure includes four short double-helical elements and three loops (D, anti-codon, and T loops). The record is from RNAcentral.
AGCAUAGCUCAGUUGGUAGAGCAGCGCAUUCGUAAUGCGCAGGUCAAGGGUUCGAGUCCCUUCGCU